UGCUCCGCUCGUAAACAAAGCUUUUCACUGUAUUUCAGUACACGUGACAACAAAAACAAAAUCAACUGAUCAUCAACAGUUCUCUAGGUAGAAUAUUCCAAAAAGUAACAAUGCUUUCAGUGAUGAAACUUAUCUUUAUCUCAGUCUCAAGUGGUUAUGACUCUAUAUUUUGACAUUUUUGUGAAACAGUUGAGUACCAAGGAAAAUGACUGUGAUCUUUCUCUUGUGGAAUCCUAAGGGUGUGGAAAAAAUACCCUAUAUAAAAGAAAGGCCUUCUCUUGCUUUCUCUUGCUUUCUCUGCACCAGAACUGAGCUGGUGUAGGGGAAUGACAGUACAGGAUCAUUCAGUGUCUCUAUUAUAUGUGAGUUGAUAAUAACCAUUUGCAGCAAUUUCCACAGUGGGCUGUGAUUACCAUAAUUAAGUCAAUUUACACAUUCCUGCUUCAAAACGCUGGGAAAUAUUUAAAUGGUGUUUAUAGCACAGCAGUAAAAGCAAAAUUGAAACAAAAGCAAAAUUCUAUGGAUCAUGGAAAACUGAAAUCAAAACAGGCGAGAGAGACUCAGCAUCUGUGGAGAGAGAAACUGAAAAAUUGAAAGCUUCCAGUUGACAAGAAAUGGGGAAAAGCAAUUCUGACAAAAAUCCAUAGUCCUGAAGUGGUGACCCUCUUUCUGUCUCCACCGAUGUUAUCAGACCUGCAGAGUAUUGCUAGCAUUUUCUGUUUUUAUUUAGAGCAAGACUGAAUGUUGCCUUUUCACCAACCUGGCUAUUAAUCUCAGAGAAGAACUGCAAUAAUAUGGACUGCUCUGACAGGUUCUGUGGUCAGGAGCAGAUUUUCUGAGUAUGAAUUACUGCUGGGGAGCCUCAACCUGUUACUCAUACAGCUUAACAAAUCUAAAGAACUGCCCAUGAGAAGCCUGGAAUACCCAAAAGGGAGGCAAGGCACCACAUAUGUAAAGUGUAUAGGAGACCAUAUUGUGGGCAGCGAAUACAGUAGACUGGAUUGAGUGAAGUGUGGGUAAGUGCAUGUGUAAAGGUUGUUUUUGUUUUGUAUUUUUAAUUGUGGACUGAAAUGUGAAAAAGAU
Molecule: long non-coding RNA, 1083 nt
Organism: Rhincodon typus (whale shark)
Lineage: Eukaryota; Metazoa; Chordata; Chondrichthyes; Orectolobiformes; Rhincodontidae
Exons: 3
Source: RefSeq, a predicted model, not a curated record